Molecule: ribosomal RNA, 403 nt
Filed under: Enterobacter sp. LGISF
Lineage: Bacteria; Pseudomonadati; Pseudomonadota; Gammaproteobacteria; Enterobacterales; Enterobacteriaceae
Description: bacterial SSU rRNA
Rfam family: Bacterial small subunit ribosomal RNA
Source: RNAcentral
CACGGAACUUAGCAGAGAUGNUUUGGUGCCUUCGGGAACUCUGAGACAGGUGCUGCAUGGCUGUCGUCAGCUCGUGUUGUGAAAUGUUGGGUUAAGUCCCGCAACGAGCGCAACCCUUAUCCUUUGUUGCCAGCGGUCCGGCCGGGAACUCAAAGGAGACUGCCAGUGAUAAACUGGAGGAAGGUGGGGAUGACGUCAAGUCAUCAUGGCCCUUACGAGUAGGGCUACACACGUGCUACAAUGGCGCAUACAAAGAGAAGCGACCUCGCGAGAGCAAGCGGACCUCAUAAAGUGCGUCGUANUCCGGAUUGGAGUCUGCAACUCGACUCCAUGAAGUCGGAAUCGCUAGUAAUCGUAGAUCAGAAUGCUACGGUGAAUACGUUCCCGGGUCUUGUACACACCG